UCGCCCGUCAUUGGGGAGUAGCCGCCUCGCACCGCGAGGGCUUGCGUCAACACACUUGGCCUGUCCGGCCAUGGCGCAGGCAGCUGUCACAGCCUGGCAAGACCUUUGACUGCGUGUCCUCCGGUAUGGCCAGGGAGGCGCGCAGUCAUCCGUCUUUCCUGGCCUCGGACUCUC
RNAcentral lists this small RNA (174 nucleotides) under Ramlibacter sp. RNAcentral's name for it is "Manganese sequence". It matches the Rfam family "Manganese Mn2+ riboswitch aptamer (yybP-ykoY)". From Rfam's summary of the family: This RNA was originally discovered in E. coli during a large scale screen and was named SraF. The family was later found to exist upstream of related families of protein genes in many bacteria, including the the yybP and ykoK genes in B. subtilis. The record is from RNAcentral. Lineage: Bacteria; Pseudomonadati; Pseudomonadota; Betaproteobacteria; Burkholderiales; Comamonadaceae.